GCAGCAGUGGGGAAUAUUGGACAAUGGGCGCAAGCCUGAUCCAGCCAUACCGCGUGUGUGAAGAAGGCCUUCGGGUUGUAAAGCACUUUAAGCAGGGAGAAAAAGUUAUAAGUUAAUACCUUAUAACCGUGAUGUUACCUGCAGAAUAAGCACCGGCUAAUUCCGUGCCAGCAGCCGCGGUAAUACGGAAGGUGCAAGCGUUAAUCGGAAUUACUGGGCGUAAAGCGCGCGUAGGUGGUUUGUUAAGUUGGAUGUGAAAGCCCUGGGCUCAACCUAGGAACUGCAUCCAAAACUAACUCACUAGAGUACGAUAGAGGGAGGUAGAAUUCAUAGUGUAGCGGUGGAAUGCGUAGAUAUUAUGAAGAAUACCAGUGGCGAAGGCGGCCUCCUGGAUCUGUACUGACACUGAGGUGCGAAAGCGUGGGUAGCGAACAGGAUUAGAUACCCUGGUAGUCCACGCCGUAAACGAUGACAACUAGCUGUUGGGAGACAAUGUCUUUCAGUGGCGCAGCUAACGUUUUAAGUUGUCCGCCUGGGGAGUACGGCCGCAAGGCUAAAACUCAAAUGAAUUGACGGGGACCCGCACAAGCGGUGGAGCAUGUGGUUUAAUUCGAUGCAACGCGAAAAACCUUACCUACUCUUGACAUACUUGGAAGCUCUUGUAAUGAGAGUGUGCCUUUUGGAGCCAAGAUACAGGUGCUGCAUGGCUGUCGUCAGCUCGUGUCGUGAGAUGUUCCGUUAAGUCGGAUAACGAGCGCAACCCUUACCCUUAUUUGCCAGCGAUUCGGUCGGGAACUAUAAGGGGACUGCCGGUGAUAAACCGGAGGAAGGUGAGGACGACGUCAAGUCAUCAUGGCCCUUACGAGUAGGGCUACACACGUGCUACAAUGGGGAAUACAGACGGACGCUAAGCCGCGAGGUGGUGCUAAUCCUAGAAAGUUCUUCGUAGUCCGGAUUGGAGUCUGCAACUCGACUCCAUGAAGUCGGAAUCGCUAGUAAUCGCGAAUCAGCAUGUCGCGGUGAAUACGUUCUCGGGUCUUGUACACACCGCCCGUCACACCAUGGAAGUGGAUUGCACCAGAAGUAGAUAGUCUAACCUUCGGGAGGGCGUUUACCACGGUGUGCUUCAUGACUGGGGUGAAGUCGUAACAAGGUAGCCGUAGGGGAACCUGUGGCUG
This 1178-nucleotide ribosomal RNA is filed under the name marine metagenome. RNAcentral describes it as "bacterial SSU rRNA". It matches the Rfam family "Bacterial small subunit ribosomal RNA", at positions 348 to 1520 of the family's 1533-position model. The record is from RNAcentral.